Non-coding RNA from Paramisgurnus dabryanus, 302 nucleotides. The record is from RefSeq and is a predicted model, not a curated record. Lineage: Eukaryota; Metazoa; Chordata; Actinopteri; Cypriniformes; Cobitidae.
UUGUGUCCCUUCUGGUCUGUUAACUUGUUGCCUCGCGUCUUUCGCCUUGAAUAAAAUGACGGCUUGUCUUGUACCGGAUGUGCCCGCGGUACGGAUCGCCUUAGAACAUUUAAGCGAAUUAGAUAAACGAUUGAGAGAAGAAAGUGUUUCAUUUAGUCAAGAAGCAAGUCAUCACCUGAGAGAGAUAUCUGAAGCCAUCAAAGAGCUGGAAGCAUGUAGAAAAACUGCACGUGACAAACUUGAGGUUGAAACUAUCGAGACAAGCAAACUUCGGCUUCAAACCAUUAAUGAUCAGGAUAAUA